Molecule: ribosomal RNA, 253 nt
Filed under: uncultured bacterium
Lineage: Bacteria
Description: partial 16S ribosomal RNA
Rfam family: Bacterial small subunit ribosomal RNA
Source: RNAcentral
UACGUAGGGGGCUAGCGUUGUCCGGAAUCAUUGGGCGUAAAGCGCGUGUAGGCGGUCCGGUAAGUCCGCUGUGAAAGUCGGGGGCUCAACCCUCGGAUGCCGGUGGAUACUGUCGGGCUUGAGUACGGAAGAGGCGAGUGGAAUUCCUGGUGUAGCGGUGAAAUGCGCAGAUAUCAGGAGGAACACCAAUUGCGAAGGCAGCUCGCUGGGACGUUACUGACGCUGAGAAGCGAAAGCAUGGGGAGCGAACAGG